UACGGGGGGGGCAAGCGUUGUUCGGAAUUACUGGGCGUAAAGGGCGCGUAGGCGGUGCUCUAAGUCGGAUGUGAAAACUCUGGGCUCAACCCAGAGCCUGCAUCCGAAACUGGAGUGCUAGAGUUCUGGAGGGGGUAGCGGAAUUCCUGGUGUAGCGGUGAAAUGCGUAGAUAUCAGGAGGAACACCAGCGGCGAAGGCGGCGCUCUGGGCCGGUACUGACGCUGAGGAGCGAAAGCGUGGGGAGCAAACAGG
This 253-nucleotide ribosomal RNA is filed under the name uncultured bacterium. RNAcentral's name for it is "partial 16S ribosomal RNA". It matches the Rfam family "Bacterial small subunit ribosomal RNA", at positions 524 to 776 of the family's 1533-position model. The record is from RNAcentral.